GAAAGCCAUAACACUUUGGGAAUGAUGUAAAAAUAUACAUGAAGACUUGCAGACAUUUUUUGGACAUAUACUCUUCCUGACAAGCAAACACUGUGAACCUUUACAAGUGUAUUAGCUAAAACAGUACAGCUAGGUACAGGUUCAUGUGAAUUUAAAGGUGCAUAUCCCUCCAUGUUGAUUCUCUAAAGACCCGUAAGAACACACAGCUGUUCUUCCAGUGGGUUCCUGAGACACUGCCCUCACCAUUUGUUUUCACAGUUUUCAGACUCACUUCCCUGUUGGAUUUGGUUGACAUGAACAGUGUGGUCACCUCAUUUUCCUGGUUGUUUCUGUUUGUUUUUAAAUCUCCACCUUUGUUGGUGUACUUUUUCAUAUUUUUAUGGGCAUAAUAAUAGCUACAGAGUGCUUUUAUGCAGAGAGGUUUUAAAUUCAGUGUAUAGUAACAUUCUCUUUGGGGCGGAGAGGCGAGAGGGCAAGUCAGGGAUGUAAAAACAUUGAUUACAAGGAAUGUAUUUUUCCUGUUCAAAGUUGGAAAAAUAAAGAAGGAAUUGCUCAUACUAUUUUUAUUGCAAAAGGGUAUUUUACUUUUAGGUUUUAUUGCUUUAGAAAGCCUAGCAGAACAAACAUGAGAUUCUCUGGAGUGAAAGUCUUUGUACUAAGCAUUCUGUAUGGACAUAUUUAUUCCAUUUUAUAAUUCUGUUGAAUAGCUGCUCCAUAUAAACAGAAAAUUGCUGUAUAACUCCUUCCAUCCUCCUCCCCAAAAGACAGUUAAGUGAAAUCCAGAGCAGUAACUCAAUCACUAAGCUGUUUAUGCUGAAAUACAUACUUAAUUCUAAUGUUGCUUCAGGAGUGGCUGUUUCUUAAUCAUGUCUUUCAUUUUUUGGUUGUGGAAUUUGAUUUGCUACUCUAUGUAAUACCUGUAUGGUAUUGCAAAUAAAUACCUCAUUGUGAAUAUCAAGGAGUAAUUAGAAGAUCAGAAUGCUCGA
This is a long non-coding RNA of Pezoporus flaviventris, 986 nucleotides long. RefSeq lists it as uncharacterized. NCBI's taxonomy places the organism in Eukaryota, Metazoa, Chordata, Aves, Psittaciformes, Psittacidae. The record is from RefSeq and is a predicted model, not a curated record. The transcript has 2 exons.